Molecule: non-coding RNA, 1295 nt
Filed under: Pongo abelii (Sumatran orangutan)
Lineage: Eukaryota; Metazoa; Chordata; Mammalia; Primates; Hominidae
Source: RNAcentral
ACACAGCCCUCAGCCCAGAGCCCAGGGCAAAGCUGAAGGGAGGCCAGGGACCUCACUGGGCUGGGCAGGUGCAGGCCACUCCCGUCCCAGUGCCCUCAGAGGCACCUAGACUCAUGUGGACCCAGCCGCAGACCCUUCUGGGCAGUUCUGUCCAGGCCGGCCCUGCCCUCUGACCUGGGGCCGCAGGGGCUGGCCACUGUGGGCUCGGUUCCCUGCCACCCCGAUUCAUCUGCACCCCAAGGAAAGAGAAUGAGGGGUUGCAGUGCCCCAGGACCCACGAGCCCCCGAACACCAGGGCAGCACAUACUUCCAGUCCCAGGGCCACAGCAGAGCAGGGCCAGGCCCAGCCCAGUGACGCAGGGCAGACGGAAGGGCGCCCUCCACAAUGGAGGGGCGCAGGAGCUGCCGCGGCCAGGACAAACCAACCUCAGGCUGACAUAGGCCGGUAAUGGGUUUAACGCAUCAGGUGCAGAAGAGAAACACCCCACAAAUCAGGGAGAGGAGGGAAGCCGCCCACCCCAUGGGAGGAAGCUGAGGAGUGAACGCCAGGGACGGGCGGGGCAGGUCCUCAGAGCACCGCAGACAUCAGACCAAGGGCAACUGUCAUCACCACGAGAAGGCCUCGUCCACGGCAGAAGCCAACCUCACCACGCCGACUGCACCAGAGACACCCACGAGGAGAGCCGGCCUCCGAGAACGCAGCUGAGCCAUCACAGGUCGCCAUCAGCAAAGGCAACGAUCCAGAUUAUGCAAACGGAGGCAAGGCUGCCAUGGACUCCAGAGCCUCAGAUGCCAUCAACAAAAGCAAAGUGGACACAUCUGCAUCAAAUCCAUCACAAAGACGGCCUUCGAGACUCUGGGGGAAACGGAGUCUCGCUCUGCCACCCAGACUGGAGUGCCUUUUCCCCUCACCGUGUGGGAGUCGCCGGGCGACGUCCCGCCCCGGUUUCCCUCCACCCGAAGGCAGUCACCUCGGUUGCCAGCUCCUGCCUCUGUGAUCUGUGAUGAUCCCCACAAGGGGUGCAGAGUGAAGGGCACAGCGGGGUUCGGCCUAAUUCCCUGGGGAGCCCCAGGCGAGAGGGCUUGGUCCUGGGGAGCUGCCCAGGUCUUCUACACCCCCUGGCCUCCAUCCAGCCCCGCACGACUCGGCUCCUGGCCCUGUGCACCGGGCGACGCCUGCUAGGCGCGUGCCCCUCAGAGUCAGGCCUGUAUUCACCUCAGCUUUUAUCAAGGGCCUUCAAGGAUUGGGUUUUUUAAAUCAUCAUCAAAUAUACUGUUAUUAAAAAGAUACGUAC